Molecule: long non-coding RNA, 270 nt
Organism: Amphimedon queenslandica
Lineage: Eukaryota; Metazoa; Porifera; Demospongiae; Haplosclerida; Niphatidae
Exons: 4
Source: RefSeq, a predicted model, not a curated record
GAAGCUUACUGUUGGAUACUGCACAAUAUGGAAGAAACAAGAAAUACAGGAGCCACUGAGACAGAAAGAACUUAUAGAAGCUGCACAGCAACUAACAAGCAUACUUAGUAAAAAAGAAAAGGAAUUAAAUAAAAUAAAGGAAAAAAUACAAGAACUGUCAUCACUAACAAAAACUAAGGAAGAUCAAAAUGAAGAGGAAUGUACACUAGUGGAAUUAAAGGAAGUAAAAGAAGCAACCAAUGAUUUGGAAGAGAAACUACAAAGUAAUUA